This 739-nucleotide long non-coding RNA is filed under the name Monodelphis domestica (gray short-tailed opossum). RNAcentral describes it as "lncRNA (ENSMODG00000048868.1)". The record is from RNAcentral. Lineage: Eukaryota; Metazoa; Chordata; Mammalia; Didelphimorphia; Didelphidae.
UCGACAUACCUAGCGGGACCGCUGCUGUUUGUUUUUUGUUCCCCUUAUACUCUCCCUGGGAGAAGAAAUGUCUGUGAGGGGAACGCCAGCUCUCUGGGUACAUCACUUGUUGAGGUGGUGGCAGUUCAGACUCCAAGUGUCCAGCUGUCCCAUGUUGGAUCUCUCAGCAGUCAUCCCUAGGUCAAUGAGGAGAGGUAAAGUUGAAAAAGAGGAAAAUGACAAAUGCUGGAAGAACUACAGGAAAACAGACACAUUAAUACACAAUUGAGGAACCCAUGAACUGGUAGAGUCAUUCUGGAUAUCAACUGGGAACUAUAUCUAAAACAUUAUUCAGUUGUGCAUAUCUUUUGACUUGAUAAUACCACUACAAGGAUUAUAGUCCAAAAAGAAGAAGGAAAGAGAAAAGCAAUCUAUAUGUAUAACAAUAUUCAUAGAAGCUUUUAUUUGUGGUGGCAAAGAAAGGGAAUCCAAGGGAGUGCUUAAUGCUUAACAAAAGGGGGAUAUUUGGACAAGUUAUAGUUUAUGAAUAUGAUGGAACAUGAUUAUGUUGUAAGAGAUGAUGAUGAUCAUAGUGUCAGAAAAACCUGGGAAUCCUUGCGUGACCAAUGAAGAUUGUAGUAAGGAGAUCCAAGAGAAAAAUUUAUAAAAUAACAACAAUCUUGUAAAGUAAAAAAAAAAAACAAAUCCAAACUGAAAGGCUUUGGAACUCUGAUCAAUAAAAAGAACAAUGACAGUUCCA